This 440-nucleotide ribosomal RNA is filed under the name uncultured bacterium. Its description in RNAcentral is "partial 16S ribosomal RNA". It matches the Rfam family "Bacterial small subunit ribosomal RNA", at positions 338 to 795 of the family's 1533-position model. The record is from RNAcentral.
CCUACGGGAGGCAGCAGUGGGGGAUAUUGCACAAUGGGGGAAACCCUGAUGCAGCGACGCCGCGUGGGUGAAGAAGCGCCUCGGCGCGUAAAGCUCUGUCAGCAGGGGAGAAAAUGACGGUACCUGAAGAAGAAGCCCCGGCUAACUACGUGCCAGCAGCCGCGGUAAUACGGAGGGGGCAAGCGUUAUCCGGAUUUACUGGGUGUAAAGGGGGCGCAGACGGAGCUGCAAGCCAGGAGUGAAAGCCCCGGGCUCAACCCCGGGACUGCUCUUGGAACUGCGUGGCUAGAGUGCAGGAGGGGCAGGCGGAAUUCCUGGUGUAGCGGUGAAAUGCGUAGAUAUCAGGAGGAACACCGGUGGCGAAGGCGGCCUACUGGACUGCAACUGACGUUGAGGCCCGAAAGCGUGGGGAGCAAACAGGAUUAGAUACCCCAGUAGUC